Molecule: long non-coding RNA, 439 nt
Organism: Lagenorhynchus albirostris (white-beaked dolphin)
Lineage: Eukaryota; Metazoa; Chordata; Mammalia; Artiodactyla; Delphinidae
Exons: 3
Source: RefSeq, a predicted model, not a curated record
GAAAGGCAAGUGGAAAACGCCUCUUCGAGUGAGAUGUUGGCCAAUCCAGAGAUCCAGUCCACCUAAGGCUCCACCCCCUGCUGAGGACAGACCAAUCUCUUUGAGGCUUGUGAGGGACGAUGUGCGUUUGAAUGUUGAACGUAAGGAACCUAGUAAAAACAUAAAGAGCCUUGGAAGAGGGCCUGUGCCAAGGGACCCACCAAGAGGGGCUUCCAUCCCCACAGCCAACACCCAACAGAUGAGGGAGGUCAGAAGAAAAGAGUUCCUAAUCCUAUAACAAAGGCUGAAUCAGGAGGACUAUGUUGCUGGAAUUUCAUAAAGAAGGCAUGUAAGAAGGGAGGUAUUACCUGAUGUUCGGCACAUUACACGUUCAAAACUAAACAAAAAACACCAGCUGCAUACCCAGGCUGUACCUUGUUGAAAUGUACAGUGUAUUAAU